Long non-coding RNA from Octopus sinensis (East Asian common octopus), 1007 nucleotides. RefSeq lists it as uncharacterized. The transcript is spliced from 3 exons. NCBI's taxonomy places the organism in Eukaryota, Metazoa, Mollusca, Cephalopoda, Octopoda, Octopodidae. The record is from RefSeq and is a predicted model, not a curated record.
AAGAGACCGAUAAAACAAGUACUAGUCGAUUUGAUCGACUAAAGGCAGUGCUCCUGCAUGGCCACAGUCAAAUGACUGAAACAAGUAAAAGAGUAAUGCUGGAUUUGCAUUCUGCUACCAGUAGAGCUUAGAGUUACACUCUCUUAAUGCCAGUAGGACUAAAUCCAGUUAAUAGAGAUAUCAGUAUAGGAAGCCAUAAUUUUAAGUAUCUAGACUCUGGUCACAGCACAGAAGGUGACAGGAUAGGCACUAUCAAUCUCUCUGAUCAGUGAUCUGAUUUUUAAAUGACUAAACCAUAUUUACUGCAGAAAGUUUUUAAAAAAAUUAAUUAAUUAAAUAAAAGCAAGAAGGCCACAUAUUUUAAGAGAAAGAACAAUCAUAUUUUUACUUGACUUUGCAGGGCAUCCAAAACCAGUGGGAUUGAUACAAUUUGUUUCUCUUGAACAGCUGACGGCCGUGGGACAAAUAUAUAUAUAUAUAUACAGAGAGAGAGAGUGAGUGAGUUCCAAAAUUAGAUCAGAAUAGAAUAGUUAGCGUGAGGUCUGAGGGGGAAAUAAUACGGACAAUAGGAGGAGAAAAGAUAAGUGAGUUUCAAGUACAUGAGUAGAGGUUGUACAAAACCAACCAGCCUCAAGCAGCAGAGGCCACUGAAAUAGGUGUAGAAGAGUCAGAGAGAAAACAUGGCAUGUCUGCAAGUCAGAGAUUGGAGUAAUUUUCUGGGAUGUUAAAUCAAGAAGGUCCUUUACAAGUAGUUGGAUAAGAAUGUUUGUUAUGUGUGUAUAAGCAUACAUGAUGGACAAAGUAUGAGCAUCUAGUUCUUCAAUCAACUGAAUGACCUGCUAAUUGAAUUAACAAGCAGCAUAGGUGAGUAUUUCAUAGGCACCCAACGUUCGAAGGUGAAGCUUGACUUUUGAAUGUUGGGCCUCAUGAAGGCAAUGACAAGUGACCGAGACCUUUGGAGAUAUGCUGUGCUUGAGAAGACCCAGCAAGCCAAGCGAGACUGUAAC